RNAcentral lists this ribosomal RNA (402 nucleotides) under uncultured bacterium. Its description in RNAcentral is "bacterial SSU rRNA". It matches the Rfam family "Bacterial small subunit ribosomal RNA", at positions 358 to 774 of the family's 1533-position model. The record is from RNAcentral.
GGAAUAUUGGGCAAUGGAGGAAACUCUGACCCAGCAACGCCGCGUGAAGGAAGAAGGUUUUCGGACUGUAAACUUCUGAUCUAAGGGAAAAAGAAAAUGAUGGUACCUUAGGAGAAAGCCACGGCUAACUACGUGCCAGCAGCCGCGGUAAUACGUAGGUGGCGAGCGUUGUCCGGAAUGACUGGGCGUAAAGGGAGCGUAGGUUGCAAUUUAAGUUAAAUGUGAAAGCCCGUGGCUCAACUACGGAACUGCAUUUAAUACUGGAUAGCUAGAGUACAGGAGGGGUGAGCGGAAUUCCUAGUGUAGCGGUGGAAUGCGUAGAUAUUAGGAAGAACACCGGAGGCGAAGGCGGCUCACUGGACUGCAACUGACACUGAGGCUCGAAAGCGUGGGGAGCAAACA